RNAcentral lists this ribosomal RNA (530 nucleotides) under Micromonospora maritima. RNAcentral's name for it is "bacterial SSU rRNA". It matches the Rfam family "Bacterial small subunit ribosomal RNA", at positions 31 to 579 of the family's 1533-position model. The record is from RNAcentral. Lineage: Bacteria; Bacillati; Actinomycetota; Actinomycetes; Micromonosporales; Micromonosporaceae.
GAACGCUGGCGGCGUGCUUAACACAUGCAAGUCGAGCGGAAAGGCCCUUCGGGGUACUCGAGCGGCGAACGGGUGAGUAACACGUGAGCAACCUGCCCUAGGCUUUGGGAUAACCCCGGGAAACCGGGGCUAAUACCGAAUAGGACCACCGGCCGCAUGGUUGGUGGUGGAAAGUUUUUCGGCCUGGGAUGGGCUCGCGGCCUAUCAGCUUGUUGGUGGGGUGAUGGCCUACCAAGGCGACGACGGGUAGCCGGCCUGAGAGGGCGACCGGCCACACUGGGACUGAGACACGGCCCAGACUCCUACGGGAGGCAGCAGUGGGGAAUAUUGCACAAUGGGCGGAAGCCUGAUGCAGCGACGCCGCGUGAGNGAUGACGGCCUUCGGGUUGUAAACCUCUUUCAGCAGGGACGAAGCGUAAGUGACGGUACCUGCAGAAGAAGCGCCGGCCAACUACGUGCCAGCAGCCGCGGUAAGACGUAGGGCGCGAGCGUUGUCCGGAUUUAUUGGGCGUAAAGAGCUCGUAGGCGGC